This 447-nucleotide ribosomal RNA is filed under the name uncultured bacterium. Its description in RNAcentral is "partial 16S ribosomal RNA". It matches the Rfam family "Bacterial small subunit ribosomal RNA", at positions 29 to 523 of the family's 1533-position model. The record is from RNAcentral.
AACGAACGCUGGCGGCAGGCUUAACACAUGCGAGUCGAACGCAUCGCAAGAUGAGUGGCAGACGGGUGAGUAACGCGUGGGAACAUACCCUUUUCUACGGAAUAGCUCUGGGAAACUGGAAUUAAUACCGUAUACGCCCUACGGGGGAAAGAUUUAUCGGGGAAGGAUUGGCCCGCGUUGGAUUAGCUAGUUGGUGGGGUAAAGGCCUACCAAGGCGACGAUCCAUAGCUGGUCUGAGAGGAUGAUCAGCCACAUUGGGACUGAGACACGGCCCAAACUCCUACGGGAGGCAGCAGUGGGGAAUAUUGGACAAUGGGCGCAAGCCUGAUCCAGCCAUGCCGCGUGAGUGAUGAAGGCCUUAGGGUUGUAAAGCUCUUUCACCGUUGAAGAUAAUGACGGUAGUCGGAGAAGAAGCCCCGGCUGACUUCGUGCCAGCCGCCGCCGUAA